GGAUCAAAGCUUUAUUUGGACUGUAACACAGUAUAUCUAUGGAUUAUAAUCCUUAAGCAAACAGAAUUAUUACAGUAAUGAAGACUUCUGCAUUACAAAUAUGUUAAAACAGCUUGCAUUUGGGGUGAUAUUUAAGGUCACGUUGUAUCUGAACACAACUAUUAAAAUAUUAUGAAAAUUACCAUUAUGGAGUAAAUAAUGUUUUCUUUCAGAUGUAACCUCUGAAAGUACAUUCCAUUUCAAAUUUGGUUUUCUAAUUUUUCCAGUACCAACAAGCUCAAACUGAACAUCUACAUCCCUGACCUGCUCUAUGUGAAAGAGAGAGAAAUGAAGAACUAUAAGCUCAGCCUCAAAUCUAGCUCCCUACAUGACCCCUCAUAAAUGUAGUCAAGAGGUUACCACAGUAAAUGUCAAAUAUCAUGUGUCUAACCCAUCUUAUUAUUUCAUAUGUACUCUCAAAUUAAAUUAAUAGGCUUGAGAAAGAUUCUGCGGAGUAAGAAAUCUCUCAUCUGAGGGAAAAGUAACAUGCCUUCUGCUACUGCCCCCACAGCCAGAAUAACUGAGAAAGUAAAAAGCUCGGGAAUGUGAUGGGAGAGGUGACAAGAUGGGUGAACAGGCUGUGCUCCUGGGUUAGUACUGUGGUUACUCAUCUGUGCAUAAACCUAAAAAAGGGUGAUUAAUUAUUUCUUCUUGUAAGAUACUCGAAGAUUAGCUCACAAGCAGGCAAACCCUUUGGUUUUCUUCACCGCUCUUCUCUCAAUUGCUUUUCCCCAUCCACCAGAAAAGCACAAGCAGCAAAAGGCUCUUAGGACCACAGCAGCUUAUGUAUACAUACAUUUUAACCCAAAAGGGCAAGCAGGAAGUCAAGAGACGUAGAGUAAGAGAUUAUGUUCUGAGGGGAAAAAAAAUCAUUUACCCAAGAUGGGUAGGAAAUAACACAAGACACAUCUAUAUAUGACCUAACAUAUAUAAUAUAUACUUUAUAUUUUAUACAAAAGCUUGGGAUAAGAUGGGGUAUAAUUGCAUAGAAGUUACAGCCUUGACGUGGUAAAGAAUACCCAUUCAAGAUCUCAUUUAAAGCUGAUAUUAAACCAUAAUGGUAUCAAACAGUUUGGGGGAGUUUGGGGUUUUUUUUAAAACACACUUAUGUUUAACAUUUGUUUCUCAAUUUGUCUCUAUAGAAAGGCAAGUGGCAAGCUAGCUCAGCUGUAGCAAUUAAACUAUGCACUCAGAUCUGAGUAGAACAGGGAUCCUGUGUAACGAUGUUCCCUGCCGCUGCUUGCCCCACGGUCUGUGCCAAACCAGGCAACACACACUCCUGCACCUCAGCAUCCCUGCUGCCCUGCCCCUACACUGCUGCAUUGCUUCAGGCAUGUGCAGUUGCAUUUAUAUAUGUGUAUAUAUAUCUAUCUAUAUAUAUCAGACCACAGGCCAGCA
This 1437-nucleotide long non-coding RNA is filed under the name Strigops habroptila (Kakapo). RNAcentral's name for it is "lncRNA (ENSSHBG00005016030.1)". The record is from RNAcentral. Lineage: Eukaryota; Metazoa; Chordata; Aves; Psittaciformes; Psittacidae.